CUUAUAAAAUAAUUUAAGAAUGAAUUUUAUAUCAAGAAUUAGAAUAUUGAAAUAUUUGUGGAUGAGAUUCAAGCAAGAAACUAUGAAGACUCAAGCAAGAAAAAUUUUGAGGACGAAAUUUCUUUUAGAGGGGAAGAAUGUGAUGGCCCGGCCCGAACAAGAAUCCCAACCCACCAAAGCCCAAACAAAAAAAAAAGAAAAAAAAAUAGGGGAGUCUUCCUCCUCUUGCCGGCUCCC
Molecule: long non-coding RNA, 237 nt
Filed under: Elaeis guineensis (African oil palm)
Lineage: Eukaryota; Viridiplantae; Streptophyta; Magnoliopsida; Arecales; Arecaceae
Description: long non-coding RNA (EGUI_LNC018533)
Source: RNAcentral